Long non-coding RNA from Oenanthe melanoleuca, 1825 nucleotides. RefSeq lists it as uncharacterized. The record is from RefSeq and is a predicted model, not a curated record. Lineage: Eukaryota; Metazoa; Chordata; Aves; Passeriformes; Muscicapidae. The transcript has 3 exons.
GAGUGGAGGGAGAGCUGCUCUCACAGCUCCUGCCACAAGGAACUGCAGAGGUGCAGAAGAGCCUGCAGCUCCCUCCUUAUUUACAGAACAUUAGUGUUGCUGCAGCAACCCCAAGUAACCCUGCUGCCCAGCGCCCCUCCAGACACACUGGCUGCUCUUUUAUCAGCCACCAAGAGAAACAGAAAGUUGCACAGAGCAACUGUUCAAGCUGCCUUGGAGGUAAACUGUCUCAAGUGAUAAGGAAUUAUGAAACCUCUGAGCCCAAGAUAAUACCCUCUCACACUUAGGCUGUACAAGACCAGUACUAAGAAAUCCUGUCAGGACCAGCCUUUGCCUCUGAUCCCUUUAGCCUCUGCAACAGCCCAGCAUUUGAGGCAAUGUAUUGGGUCCCACUUGCCAAUCCAGAACAAGUUUAAUUGACUUUGCUCUUUGCAGUAACUCUUUGCAAACACAGUCUAAUCCCAUUUAAUCCCCACAAAGUACUGGAAGCCAGGUAAUACCUGUCAUAUUAGAGAUAAUUCCUCAGAUUUGGGCUUAUUAUAUUUAUUUACACAAAGCAUUGAGGAUGCUUUGUGUAAAUAAAUCACAGGUUAGGAUGAGGGAUCCCAGCUGUGAGUACAGCUGUUCAAAUUCACAGGACUGUUUCUAACAUUUCCACAGGCUUUUCUUCAGAAAUUGGUUGUCUAAAUAAACAUCUGAGCCACGUAGCAGAGCUAUUGCCUCCUCUGCCUGUCUUUUUGAAUCUUUGCUAAAUCCUUUUAUCAUAGCAGGGCUGAUACUUUUCUAAAAUUAUUUAAUUAUUAAUAAUUAAGCACUGUAUUAUUUUUUAUUUUAACAGCCUAUAGAGGACCUCCUUCCAGAAAGUUGCAGUGAAUAUCAACAGUUACCAGCCUGUCUGCCAAGUAUUUCAUAAUUAAGAUAAUAGCUCUUCCAGAGGAUUAUCAGGACCCUGGAGAAAAGUUGGGCUGAACUGACAUCUCUGACUGAUGACUGCAGACCUUCCUUCCUUGCCUCCCACUUCAGCACACCUGCUUGCAGUGAUUGAUUUCCUGAUAGCUGCUGUGAAGAAACGACCAGACAAAGGACUGAAGUGAGACAGGAUGGGAGAGAAUCUGAGCCCUGGUCUCCAGCCCUAAUUCUGCAUUCCUAACCCCAGACUCCUGUACAAAAUGAAAGCGUGCAUCCCCCAUCACCUGUGCUUAGGUUCAUCCCAUUCACUAGAGGUCUAUAUGCCAGCAUGGUAAAUCCCACUCCUAAAGCCUCUUCUGAAGCCUGGAAACAUCAGAAUUUUGUUUAUAAUCUGGUCUAUGUCAGAAUAUGAAGAACUGCUUCUCAGACCUCUUAUGUUUCUUCUUAAUUUCUCAUCCUAAAAUUUAAGUAGCUGCAGUUGAGAAGAACUGUAUUUCAAUUGUUAAAUAGCUUGCAUUUUUUAGAAGUAUGACAAUGUUUUUGAAUAUCCAGUCUUCCAGUCCACAUGCAAGCAUUAACCCCAUAGUCUGCAGUCAGUCUUAGUACCCAGAAAAUGUCUUUGUUAAUUUGAAUCUGAGAGGUGAUAUGAACUCUGUUCUGACAUAACUCCAGGAAAUAAGCAAGUACCAGGGAAGAAUUAAUAAAUGCCUCCCUUUUGUCAAGGAAAGUUAUCCCUCAGAGUUUUCUUUGAAGAAGCAUGCAACAGUGGACAUGGGAAACCUGCAUGUCACUUCAAUUUGAAAAGAUUGUUUAGAUCAGCCAUCCUCCAAAUAUUGAUGAAGAAACUAAAGUGGAAAAGCUCAAGAUGGAAAAUCCUUGAAUGAACAAAGACCUGUACAAAAGAUGGGCAACAGAC